GGAUUAGAUACCCUGGUAGUCCACGCCCUAAACGAUGUGUGCUAGCUGUCGGGACCUUUAGGUUUCGGUAGCGCAGCUAACGCAUUAAGCACACCGCCUGGGGAGUACGGUCGCAAGAUUAAAACUCAAAGGAAUUGACGGGGACCCGCACAAGCGGUGGAGCAUGUUGUUUAAUUCGAAGCAACGCGAAGAACCUUACCCACACUUGACAUCCUGAUCGCGAUUACCAGAGAUGGUUUUCUUCAGUUCGGCUGGAUCAGUGACAGGUGCUGCAUGGCUGUCGUCAGCUCGUGCCG
Molecule: ribosomal RNA, 296 nt
Filed under: uncultured bacterium
Lineage: Bacteria
Description: partial 16S ribosomal RNA
Rfam family: Bacterial small subunit ribosomal RNA
Source: RNAcentral